This 465-nucleotide ribosomal RNA is filed under the name uncultured bacterium. RNAcentral's name for it is "partial 16S ribosomal RNA". It matches the Rfam family "Bacterial small subunit ribosomal RNA", at positions 28 to 507 of the family's 1533-position model. The record is from RNAcentral.
GACGGACGCUGGCGGCGUGCUUAACACAUGCAAGUCGAACGGAAAGGCCCCAGCUUGCUGGGGUACUCGAGUGGCGAACGGGUGAGUAACACGUGGGUGAUCUGCCCUGCACUCUGGGAUAAGCCUGGGAAACUGGGUCUAAUACCGGAUAGGACCGUGCUUUAGUGUGUGCGGUGGAAAGUUUUUCGGUGCAGGAUGAGCCCGCGGCCUAUCAGCUUGUUGGUGGGGUAAUGGCCUACCAAGGCGGCGACGGGUAGCCGGCCUGAGAGGGUGUACGGCCACAUUGGGACUGAGACACGGCCCAGACUCCUACGGGAGGCAGCAGUGGGGAAUAUUGCACAAUGGGCGCUAGCCUGAUGCAGCGACGCCGCGUGGGGGAUGACGGCCUUCGGGUUGUAAACCCCUUUCGGCAGGGACGAAGCUUUUGUGACGGUACCUGCAUAAGAAGCACCGGCUAACUACGUG